Molecule: ribosomal RNA, 301 nt
Filed under: uncultured bacterium
Lineage: Bacteria
Description: partial 16S ribosomal RNA
Rfam family: Bacterial small subunit ribosomal RNA
Source: RNAcentral
CAGUCGCCGCGGUAAUACGAAGGGUGCAAGCGUUAAUCGGAAUUACUGGGCGUAAAGCGUGCGUAGGCGGUUUGUUAAGUCUGUUGUGAAAUCCCCGGGCUCAACCUGGGAAUGGCAAUGGAUACUGGCAAGCUAGAGUGUGUCAGAGGAUGGUGGAAUUCCCGGUGUAGCGGUGAAAUGCGUAGAGAUCGGGAGGAACAUCAGUGGCGAAGGCGGCCAUCUGGGACAACACUGACGCUGAGGCACGAAAGCGUGGGGAGCAAACAGGAUUAGAUACCCCCGUAGUCCCUGUCUCUUAUAC